AUAACAGUUAGAAAUGACUGCUAAUACCGCAUAAGCGCACAGUACCGCAUGGUACGGUGUGAAAAACUCCGGUGGUAUAAGAUGGACCCGCGUCUGAUUAGCCAGUUGGCGGGGUAACGGCCCACCAAAGCGACGAUCAGUAGCCGACCUGAGAGGGUGACCGGCCACAUUGGGACUGAGACACGGCCCAAACUCCUACGGGAGGCAGCAGUGGGGAAUAUUGCACAAUGGGGGAAACCCUGAUGCAGCAACGCCGCGUGAGUGAAGAAGUAUUUCGGUAUGUAAAGCUCUAUCAGCAGGGAAGAAGAUGACGGUACCUGAUCAAGAAGCCCCGGCUAACUACGUGCCAGCAGCCGCGGUAAUACGUAGGGGGCAAGCGUUAUCCGGAUUUACUGGGUGUAAAGGGAGCGCAGACGGCAGUGCAAGUCUGGAGUGAAAGCCCGGGGCCCAACCCCGGAACUGCUCUGGAAACUGUGCGGCUAGAGUACUGGAGGGGCAGGCGGAAUUCCUAGUGUAGCGGUGAAAUGCGUAGAUAUUAGGAGGAACACCAGUGGCGAAGGCGGCCUGCUGGACAGUAACUGACGUUGAGGCUCGAAAGCGUGGAGAGCAAACAGGAUUAGAUACCCUGGUAGUCCACGCCGUAAACGAUGAAUGCUAGGUGUCGGGGAGCAAAGCUUCCCGGUG
Molecule: ribosomal RNA, 684 nt
Filed under: uncultured bacterium
Lineage: Bacteria
Description: bacterial SSU rRNA
Rfam family: Bacterial small subunit ribosomal RNA
Source: RNAcentral